Long non-coding RNA from Arabidopsis thaliana (thale cress), 1063 nucleotides. RefSeq annotates it as other RNA. NCBI's taxonomy places the organism in Eukaryota, Viridiplantae, Streptophyta, Magnoliopsida, Brassicales, Brassicaceae. The transcript has a single exon. The record is from RefSeq.
CUUUCUCUUCCAACUUCACAUCCUUCAAAGCUCAAAUAAAUCUUCAUUAACAUGUAAUAUCUUGAGAAGAACAAGGCUUAGAUAUAUAAUAUAGAUAAGACUUAUUUUCCUUACAAGUGUUUUUGGCCUUUUGGCAAAUUAUCUACAGUUUCAUGUCCAAAAACAGCAAUUGAUAAUAGUUAUACAAACGUAAAUCAUCUCUUUUCUUUCUCAAAGGUAAAACCACAUGUAAAGUUGGGGACUGGUGAGACUUGAUGAAACAAACUUCUAAGGUCUCUAAUCGAGUUUGAAUAGAAUGAGAUUGCUAUCAGUGCCUUAUCAAGUUACAAAAACUUACUCCUAAAUAACAUGUUACUCAUAAUCAUAAGAGUGACUAUAACUGUAUAUUUAGAUAAAUGUACAGAGAAAAUACAGAAUAUGGAUGGUAGUCACGUGAGUUGGAGACAAAAUCAUGAAAUGGGGCCUAAUGAGAUAUAUUUUCAAGAAAUACGGUUUUGUGUUUCUAUGAUUAAUACUCUCAUAUAUAGUCAUAGACGGUCAUGUGUACUAUGUUUCAUAUAUCAUGAAAGAAUCUUAAAUCUUAAAAUGAAUCAUGUAACAUAUCUACAAAAACAAUAAUAGAAGAGUUUUAUCAUUGUCUCUUUCCAUGAAAACAUUUGGUACUAUCAUUUCUUUGAUGCUUUUCUUAUCUUGCGAAAGAGUAUCUAAUUAUUGAUGCAUAUGCACGAACAAUUCAAAAUUUUAUGCAAUUAUUAUUUUUUUCCGUACCUUUUCAAUUGCAUGGACCUCACGCUAGCGACUAAAUAUUUCUCACUUUUUUAUUAAAAGUUUUCAUUUUUUUCUCUCUAAAUUAUAAUUUUACCAAAUUAAUAGAUUUUUUUUUUUGAUUUGAUACUGUUUUUCCUUAAUAUUUUAGGCUACGGUAAAUAUUACUGGAUUUUGUUAGAGUAAUCCUUGGUUAAGAAGUUUAAAUCAAACUCAAAUAAACAUAAAUGAAAUAAAUUCUUUUUGAAUUACUGUUAUAUUGAUAUUAUAUAUACCUGUUGUUGACCUUUCACUUUGA